Molecule: ribosomal RNA, 622 nt
Filed under: Paraphaeosphaeria sp. TMS-2011
Lineage: Eukaryota; Fungi; Ascomycota; Dothideomycetes; Pleosporales; Didymosphaeriaceae
Description: eukaryotic LSU rRNA
Rfam family: 5.8S ribosomal RNA (bases 252-405)
Source: RNAcentral
UCUUGGUCAUUUAGAGGAAGUAAAAGUCGUAACAAGGUUUCCGUAGGUGAACCUGCGGAAGGAUCAUUAUCCAUCUAAAACCAGGUGCGGUCGCGGCCUCCGGGUGAAAGCCCGGGUGGUUUCGCGCCGCAUUCCUGCACCCUUUUUUUACGAGCACCUUUGUUCUCCUUCGGCGGGGCAACCUGCCGCUGGAACUUAAUAAAACCUUUUUUGCAUCUAGCAUUACCUGUUCUGAUACAAAUAAUCGUUACAACUUUCAACAAUGGAUCUCUUGGCUCUGGCAUCGAUGAAGAACGCAGCGAAAUGCGAUAAGUAGUGUGAAUUGCAGAAUUCAGUGAAUCAUCGAAUCUUUGAACGCACAUUGCGCCCCUCGGUAUUCCGUGGGGCAUGCCUGUUCGAGCGUCAUCUACACCCUCAAGCUCUGCUUGGUGUUGGGCGUCUGUCCCGCCUCUGCGCGCGGACUCGCCCCAAAUUCAUUGGCAGCGGUCUUUGCCUCCUCUCGCGCAGCACAAUUGCGUCUGCGAGGGGGCGUGGCCCGCAUCCACGAAGCAACAUUACCGUCUUUGACCUCGGAUCAGGUAGGGAUACCCGCUGAACUUAAGCAUAUCAAUAAGCGGAGGAA